Molecule: transfer RNA, 18 nt
Filed under: Hydnophora exesa
Lineage: Eukaryota; Metazoa; Cnidaria; Anthozoa; Scleractinia; Merulinidae
Description: partial tRNA-Met
Source: RNAcentral
GGUAAGAAAGACUAAGGG